Salvelinus sp. IW2-2015 is the source of this 1325-nucleotide non-coding RNA. The record is from RefSeq and is a predicted model, not a curated record. Lineage: Eukaryota; Metazoa; Chordata; Actinopteri; Salmoniformes; Salmonidae.
UGCACAACUGUUGCGGUACAGUAGGUUGUUGAUAUGAUGAUUGGUCGAAUAGGCUACAGCACAGUUGUUGUUUAUCCAAAAUAAAAAGUGUCCAGCGGUAAUUCAGAUUCAGCACAAUGCUUCAGAGGAAACCGUCAAACGUCUCAAACAAAGACCCAAAGAGUAAGACAAAACCAAAGCGCUCCACCAGCUUUGGCCGAUUUGACACCUUCCGACACCAACCAGCCCCAGUGAAGCCAGAGGAAAAUGGCGAUUCUUCGUCUGCAGAGGGAGAGCAGGUUGACAGUGGUGACCAGACCAGAUCAGGAGGUAUAGGGAAGAAGAUGAAGGCCAUCUCACUGACGAUGAUGAAGAGGAUGGGCAGGAAUUAUGCCAAAGCCCUGUCAGAGGAAAUGGUUGACGGGACAGAGAGAGAUGAAGAAGGAGAAGGGGAUAUUGUUAAUGGUGUCCAUUCAUUUCCAAAAGGACACAGAGUGUCCAGUCACUCCCUUGAAAGUAUCUACUGUCUCAACAGUGGACACAGCAAUUCCAGUGGGUUGACCAGUGGGUCAGAUGGCUUCAGUAACAGAGACAGUCUGAGGCUGGAUGAGGAGCUGCCCUACACAGGCCAGUUCUGUGGCAGAGCCCGGGUCCACACAGACUUUGUCCCCAGUCCCUACGACACGGAAUCACUUAAACUUAAGGUGGGGGAUGUGAUUGAGAUAAUCAGCAAGCCUCCUAUGGGUACAUGGACAGGCAUGCUGAACAACAAGGUGGGAAACUUUAAGUUCAUCUACGUGGACCUCAUAGUAGAGAAGGUUCCUGAAACGCCUCAGAAGAUGAGGACACACUGGAAGAGCAGGAGACCCCGUCCCAAAACGCUACAGGAGCUCCUAGAGCGCCUCAAUCUGGAGGAGUAUGCCUCUUCACUGCUCCUGAAUGGCUAUCAAACAGUAGAUGACCUGAAAGAGCUGAAGGAGAAGUAUCUGAUGGAACUCAAUGUGACUGAUCCUGAACACAGACAUCUUCUCAUGGCAGCCAUCGAGUGCCUCCAAGAACCCCAAAGCUGUAAAGAGACAGUUACUAGAAGGACAUGAAAGGAAAGGCAGAGUCGGAGUCAGGAAACAACAUUGAGUGGUGCAAGACAAGACAAGCUACUAACAGGAAAUGUCAUUUUCAGAGGUGAUGGUCAGGAGGGAGAGUUGAACCAGGAAGCCAAGUCCCCGACUGAGAGUAUUUAAAGCGGACCUGAACGACUGCCCCAGAGACUCUGGCUGUUACAUCCCUUCUGACUGCUCAGACAACAGCAAGGAGGAGACAGACAUCCACCUGCCAGCACUGCACCA